RNAcentral lists this unclassified non-coding RNA (147 nucleotides) under soil metagenome. Its description in RNAcentral is "partial internal transcribed spacer 1". The record is from RNAcentral.
ACGAGUUAGGGCCUCUGGCCCGAACCUCCAACCCUUUGUAUCAAAACCUCGUUGCCUCGGGGAGGCCCUGCCUCACGGCUGGCCCCCCGAUGGACCACUAAACUCUGCAUCUGUAUGACGUCUGAGUAAGGAUUUUAAAUUAAAUCA